This 670-nucleotide ribosomal RNA is filed under the name uncultured fungus. RNAcentral's name for it is "SSU rRNA". It matches the Rfam family "Eukaryotic small subunit ribosomal RNA", at positions 414 to 1093 of the family's 1831-position model. Lineage: Eukaryota; Fungi. The record is from RNAcentral.
AUUCAAGGAAGGCAGCAGGCGCGCAAAUUACCCAAUCCCAAUACGGGGAGGUAGUGACAAUAAAUAACGAUACAGGGCCCUUUCGGGUCUUGUAAUUGGAAUGAGUACAAUUUAAAUACCUUAACGAGGAACAAUUGGAGGGCAAGUCUGGUGCCAGCAGCCGCGGUAAUUCCAGCUCCAAGAGCGUAUGUAAAAGUUGUUGCAGUUAAAAAGCUCGUAGUUGAACCUUGGGCUUGGUUGGCCGGUCCGCCUAUGGCGAGUACUGGAAUCAACCGAGCCUUUCCUCCUGGCUAACUAGUUUCCCUUGUGGAGGCUAGCGAACCAGGACUUUUACUUUGAAAAAAUUAGAGUGUUCAAAGCAGGCCUUUGCUCGAAUACAUUAGCAUGGAAUAAUAGAAUAGGACAUCGGUUCUAUUUUGUUGGUUUCUAGGACCGCUGUAAUGAUUAAUAGGGAUAGUCGGGGGCGUCAGUAUUCAAUUGUCAGAGGUGAAAUUCUUGGAUUUAUUGAAGACUAACUACUGCGAAAGCAUUCGCCAAGGAUGUUUUCAUUAAUCAGUGAACGAAAGUUAGGGGAUCGAAGACGAUCAGAUACCGUCGUAGUCUUAACCAUAAACUAUGCCGACUAGGGAUCGGACGGUGGUUUUUUUAUGCCCCGUUCGGCACCUUACGA